GAUGAACGCUGGCGGCGUGCUUAACACAUGCAAGUCGAACGGAAAGGCUCCUGCUUGCAGGGGUACUCGAGUGGCGAACGGGUGAGUAACACGUGGGUGAUCUGCCCUGCACUUCGGGAUAAGCCUGGGAAACUGGGUCUAAUACCGGAUAGGACGAUGGUUUGGAUGCCAUUGUGGAAAGUUUUUCGGUGUGGGAUGAGCUCGCGGCCUAUCACCUUGUUGGUGGGGUAAUGGCCUACCAAGGCGUCGACGGGUAGCCGGCCUGAGAGGGUGUACGGCCACAUGGGGACUGAGAUACGGCCCAGACUCCUACGGGAGGCAGCAGUGGGGAAUAUUGCACAAUGGGCGCAAGCCUGAUGCAGCGACGCCGCGUGGGGGAUGACGGCCUUCGGGUUGUAAACUCCUUUCGCUAGGGACGAAGCGCAAGUGACGGUACCUGGAGAAGAAGCACCGGCUAACUACGUG
RNAcentral lists this ribosomal RNA (465 nucleotides) under uncultured bacterium. RNAcentral describes it as "partial 16S ribosomal RNA". It matches the Rfam family "Bacterial small subunit ribosomal RNA", at positions 28 to 507 of the family's 1533-position model. The record is from RNAcentral.